This 1065-nucleotide long non-coding RNA is filed under the name Bemisia tabaci. RNAcentral's name for it is "lncRNA ENSSSA1UGG001251". The record is from RNAcentral. Lineage: Eukaryota; Metazoa; Arthropoda; Insecta; Hemiptera; Aleyrodidae.
CAUAGAAUGAUGCAAAUUCUUGAAGAUCAUCCGCACCUAUAGAGAUAAAUAAUUAUAUGCCAAAAUUAUUUGAGGAGUUAGAAUUUCAAUCCAAGUGUGAAUGUUUAACACUUUGCCUGCGUGGGCCUUUAACAAAAUGCCUGAUUUAACUAUUUACCUGAGACUCAUGUAUUAUGUGUGUCAGAGAUAUCUCAUUUAUAUCUGUGCAAUUUUUUCUUUGAGCUUUUUUUCAGCGAAAUACCUGUCACGUCGGCGGGUGGAAGAUCUAUUCCAGCUAUUCUGGCUGACAUGUAGGUGUGUUCCGCUGGUGAAUGAGGCUUACGGGGGUUUAAUAUUUGGCAUGGUACUAGUGACAGCAUUCCAGCUUGUUGCCGUACCCCACUACUUCUUGAUCCCCAUGUUCCAAACGAUGGACUCUGUCUCUCUCGUCCACAAGAUCUGUGCCUUUUGUGACGUCAUGUGGAUGUGUGCCUUUUUAUGCCAAAUCUUCAUCCUCGUCAGCGUCCCGGCUUUUGCGUCAGCUGAGGGUAGCAGGACAGCAAAAAUUGUUUGCAAGCAUCUGAACACGAACAUUGAGGAAUAUUUUUUGAGAGAGAUGAAGAUGUUCGUGUUCCGUCAAAACUGCUCUCUUCUUGAUUUUGAAGCAACCAACAUAAUGAAGCUAAAACUACCUUUGAUAACAUCUGUGCGUAAUUUUUACCAUUGAAUUCCUUAAUACACACUGAAAAUUGAAAACAGAAAAAAGUGUCUCACACGGCACAAAAAUUAACUACAUAAAUUUCGCUAUUUGCAAAUAUUUGGACAAAAAUACACGUAAUAUAUUCGCAUAGCCAAAGAGGCUAACUAAGCAUCAGCUUUAACCAUUUCUACUUUUAUAUUCAAAACAAGUGCUCUAAAAAUAUUCAGCAGGGAAUGACUGUAGAAUUUCCAAAUAGGUUUAAGCUCCUUCUUGUAACUUCAGCAUUGACAGGUGUGAGAGAAAAGUUUAUGAUCUCGGUAUUUAAAUUUCCAGGUAAUUGGUAUCACGGCAACUUAUAUUCUGAUUACCAUCCAAAUACGCAAUGC